This 84-nucleotide small RNA is filed under the name Vagococcus fluvialis. RNAcentral's name for it is "SAM-III riboswitch aptamer (SMK box)". It matches the Rfam family "SAM-III riboswitch aptamer (SMK box)". Lineage: Bacteria; Bacillati; Bacillota; Bacilli; Lactobacillales; Enterococcaceae. The record is from Rfam by way of RNAcentral. RNAcentral also lists the same sequence under 1 other name.
CAAUGUUGCAAGAUUCCCGAUAGGAUUUACUAUACGCGUAAAGAUUCCUUGUAACCGACUAAUACUUUAGGGGGAAUAGAAAUG